UACAAUCACAUCACGCUGAAAACACCAGUUCCCAUAUGAUCAACAAAGUUAAGCAACUUUGAGCCUAGUCAGUACCUAGAAGGGUGACUGCUUGGA
Acanthosepion pharaonis is the source of this 96-nucleotide non-coding RNA. The record is from the annotation of a GenBank genome assembly. Lineage: Eukaryota; Metazoa; Mollusca; Cephalopoda; Sepiida; Sepiidae.